This 2423-nucleotide long non-coding RNA is filed under the name Citrus maxima (pomelo). Its description in RNAcentral is "long non-coding RNA (CMAX_LNC003665)". Lineage: Eukaryota; Viridiplantae; Streptophyta; Magnoliopsida; Sapindales; Rutaceae. The record is from RNAcentral.
CCCACAACCAUUCGAUGGAUAUUGUUACAAUUGGAAAUGCUCCAAUGUAGCCGCUGCCAAAAAGAAAUUAUGAAACUUAUUAGGAACUUAAUUAGUAGAAAAUCUUGGGGAAAAUGCUUCGAAAAGCAUAAAUUGUAUAUGAAAAGAAACAACCUUGUUUAAUCUUUUGCAAGCAUAGCUCAUAUAACGACUUUAAACAUUUAAGCAAAACAUGUUUCUUGCAAAAAUAUGAAAAGUUCCACCAAACAGUGCAGUUUACUGAUGUUAAAAGACACAUUCAAUCAAUUUCCCUAACUUCCAACAUUCAAUUUAAUGAAAUCACAGUCAUUAGCCUCCUACUCUUACAAUAGGAUAAGAAUUUCUAUUUAUUGUAUAUUUAACUGCAGUGCCAGACUCCAUUGUUUCAGAGAUUGUCCGCAAAAGUAAAACAGAUCAUUCUUGUUAAUUUCCCUGGAUGAUCAGUUUCUUUGGUAAAAUAACUCUAGCACUUGCAGCCCCUGGGACUUCUUAAAAGAGAAAAUACAUAAUGGUGAAGUUAGGACCAUAAAAAAUAAACUCUUGGAAUUGAGCAACAUCAUGACAACCACAUUGCUUUCCAUAACAAUGACUAGUGGCAUGAUCAAAACAAGAGCAUAGAAAACAAUCUCUCAGCCAUUUAUAAGUCAUCAAUCAGUGUGAAUAUAUGAGAUAUGAAGGAAGCAUGCACCUUUAAGAUAACAAAAACACAUAUAUCUUAAUAAAUACAAUAGUUCAUUCUCAUCAGUGUUUCAGAAACUAGCAUUAUCGAGAUUAUGCUCUCAAUCUCUGUGCUUAGUCAUCGACAUACAACCAUGCCAAAAGCUAGCCCUUCCCAACUAAGUCCAAACGGAUGCCAAAAAGUGAACAUUGUCCCACAGACAAAAAGUGAAUUGCUACCAAAGGUAAUCCACACCAAACAAUCAACACAUGAAAUACAGGACCUUUAGACAGAGAAAAUAGGGCUGAAGAAGAAAUUAAAAACCAUAGAAGCACCAAGUUCUUCUCCUAAUACUAAUAAUGGACCAAAACAACAUCACAAAACACUUAAUAUACAAUUAGAGGAAGAAAUCCAUACCAAUGACAAGCUAAAUACGACAUUUUUCUAGAAUAAAUAAUUCUGCAAACAAAAAAACACAUUAAUUAUCUGCAUUUUAAAUAAUCCUAAAAAUGAACAUAUAAUUUUCAUUUAUGUCAUAAAAAUAAUCCUAACAGUAAGUAAUAUUCCACUGAAACCCCAACCCUCUAUUCAAUUUUUUUUUUUCCUUGUAAGAAUUAUUUUCAACAUGGAACUUGAACUCUCGAAGAGAUAACAGGAAAAGACAUAGACGGCUGACUGAGUCUGACUGAGAGAGAAUUAAGAGUGUCAGAGAAAAAAGAAGAACAUGGCUUAGAAGUUAGAAUCAUCAUCCAUUUAUCUCAUUUAAUUGUCGGUGUAAAUGUCUUAAUAGAAGAAACAAAUAUUAUUUUGAAGGGUAAAUGUAAACAAAUUAAAAUAUUAGAUAAAAUUGUGUCACAUUUAUAUUAAGUGCGUUUAUUAAGAUUUAAGAGAGAGUUGCCAGGAUACAGCACUGGUCAGCUCCCAGUUAAACUUGCGAGUUUGGGUUCGAGUCCCAGUCCCACAGGGAGUGAAAGUAGCUAAUCACCCUAACCAGCUGAAAUAUCAAAACAUGUUUGUAUACGCCUGCACAUUACAAGUUAAUCAUCAGAAAAGGAGGGCGCUGCUGCGAGAAACAACACAUCAUGUACUGAUUAUAAAACAUGCAGAACUAAUGUAUUUUACCAACCACAAAACCUUUUUUUUUUUAGAGAUAAUCUCUCCAUAGCAACAAUAAAUAUGAAAAAAAAAAUUACCACAAAGUAGAACAGUCCCAUCUUUUUUUCCAAACAAAUACAACCAUUUCAGUUCAUAUCUAAUCUGAGAACCAUUCUACUUUCAAGUUUCAACCAAUGAAAUAACCAUAUUAUCAAUGAAAUAACCAUAUUAUAAAAAUAAUCAUCUUUUCUGGUUAAGUGAUUUCGUCAGCAAAUAAGAGAAAAUAGAAAUUCUGGAAUAUACCUAGGGUUUCUAGAUUUGGGAAUUUACCUAAUGAGAAAUCAGUCUCUCUGUUUCGAGAUUUGUAACUAUCAUGGCCGAGCGACCACGAUCACCUGAGAUAAUCGGAUUUUGCACCGGCGACGAUGCAAAUGUUUGGGUUUGACGAUAGACGAAGGAAUGUUAGGGCUUUGGGUGAUUUAAGGAUUUUAUUUAAUUCAAGUAAAGUGAAAAUAACUAAAGUAUCCCUAAGUUGGUUACGCAUUUUGAUGUCCAGAAUAGUUAAUUAAAUUUCUACUCGUGUAUUUAUGGUAUGCAUGAGUUACUUUCUCAACCGUUAGUGUGGAGACAAACGAAAGCAGGAUAAAGUUCG